CAGCCGCCGCGGGAAUACGGAGGGUGCAAGCGUUAAUCGGAAUUACUGGGCGUAAAGCGUGCGUAGGCGGUUCGUUAAGUCUGUUGUGAAAGCCCCGGGCUCAACCUGGGAAUGGCAAUGGAUACUGGCGAGCUAGAGUGUGUCAGAGGAUGGUGGAAUUCCCGGUGUAGCGGUGAAAUGCAUAGAGAUCGGGAGGAACACCAGUGGCGAAGGCGGCUCACUGGACUGGUAUUGACGCUGAGGUGCGAAAGCGUGGGGAGCAAACAGGAUUAGAGACCCCCGUAGUCCCUGUCUCUUAUAC
RNAcentral lists this ribosomal RNA (301 nucleotides) under uncultured bacterium. RNAcentral's name for it is "partial 16S ribosomal RNA". It matches the Rfam family "Bacterial small subunit ribosomal RNA", at positions 509 to 807 of the family's 1533-position model. The record is from RNAcentral.